AACGAACGCUGGCGGCAGGCCUAACACAUGCAAGUCGAGCGCCCAGCAAUGGGAGCGGCAGACGGGUGAGUAACACGUGGGAACCUUCCCUAUAGUACGGAAUAGCCCAGGGAAACUUGGAGUAAUACCGCAUACGCCCGAGAGGGGAAAGAUUUAUCGCUAUAGGAUGGGCCCGCGUAGGAUUAGCUAGUUGGUGAGGUAAUGGCUCACCAAGGCGACGAUCCUUAGCUGGUCUGAGAGGACGACCAGCCACACUGGGACUGAGACACGGCCCAGACUCCUACGGGAGGCAGCAGUGGGGAAUAUUGGACAAUGGGCGCAAGCCUGAUCCAGCCAUGCCGCGUGAGUGAUGAAGGCCUUAGGGUUGUAAAGCUCUUUUGCCGGGGACGAUAAUGACGGUACCCGGAGAAUAAGUCCCGGCUAACUUCGUGCCAGCCAGCCGCGGUAAU
Molecule: ribosomal RNA, 449 nt
Filed under: uncultured bacterium
Lineage: Bacteria
Description: bacterial SSU rRNA
Rfam family: Bacterial small subunit ribosomal RNA
Source: RNAcentral